Glycine soja is the source of this 3419-nucleotide long non-coding RNA. RefSeq lists it as uncharacterized. NCBI's taxonomy places the organism in Eukaryota, Viridiplantae, Streptophyta, Magnoliopsida, Fabales, Fabaceae. The transcript has 12 exons. The record is from RefSeq and is a predicted model, not a curated record.
UUCUCUUUUUUUAAAAUGUUUUUCUCUAUUCUUACCUCUAGGGUUCCCAAACAUCGCGUGAGAUCUCUGUCACCGCAACUUUCCAUAUCUGCCACUCCCAUUGCACCAUAGCACCCAACAUUACCGAAACUUCUUGUCCUUCUCAUCCUCUUUGUCUCUGUCACCUACGUCAUCUACACGCUCAAGCUUGUCUCCAUCUCACGCGCUUGCAAAGAUGCCCCAUUCUCCUUCGGCACCUUCUCCAAAACCAUCAUCGCCGUCAAUGCCACCGCCUCCGUCGUCGCAGUUCUCCUACGAGGCUCCCUCGAGACGAAUCCCGAGGACCAGACGAACCUCCGCCACUUGGUGCUCAGAAUCGCGGCAUCGACCAAGCUGUGGGACCAAAGGAAGAGCUACAUCAAACUCUGGUAUAGAGUGAGGGACAUGUGCAGCAUGAUGUGGCUCGACGAGAAGGUGAAAUCGAAGGAAAACAAUAGCAACAUGCUCCUGCCAGUGAGAAUCUUCGACGACAUGGCGAUGUUUAACUACACGAACAGGCAAGGGCACUGGAGGUCACUUGGGCUUCAGCCUUGUCCAAAGACUCCUCCAAAGGGGAUACACUAUUCAUGCCUCUGUUAAAAAAUAUGGGGAAGAAAACCUAUUCAAUGGAAUUUCAUCCGAUCCUGAUAAGCUUAAGGUUUUUCGAUCUGACCCAUUUGAUUACCAUAGCAUAAUCGAUGCUCUCCGAGGUUGCUCUGGUUUGUUCUACAUAUGGUUUUGUCCAAUUGGAAUACUUUGGAUUCAGAUCUUUGUGACUGGAAUGGUGUUUCUUGCACUGCAACUCGAGAUCAUGUGAUCAAGCUGAUCUUGCAUGGCAACAGUCUCGUUGGAGUAAUACCUAAAGAAUUGGGCAUGUUGAAAUCUCUUAAGGUGUUGGAUUUGGGAAUUAAUCACUUAAUUGGACCAAUUCCUCCAGAGAUUGGAAAUUUGACCCAAGUUAUGAAAAUGUAAAAGGAAAUUAUUAAUUAAUUUGCUCUUCCAGAAUUGUCGACUCUUAAAUUAUUUUGAUGGAGUAGUGUUUUCAAUUCCAUUGCAUUCUUGCAUAAACCUACAGUCCAAUGGGUUGACUGGUAGGCUACCUCCAGAGCUAGGAAAAUUGAAAUACCUUCAAAUUUUUCUUCAAAUAUGCAUGGGAUGAGAGUAAAAUUUUCUAAAAUGAAUUAGUUUAGUUUGUUUACUAAUUCAUCAUCAUCAUUCAUGUAGUCUUUUCUCAUCAGAUUGAUAAAACUCUUCUUUCUCUAUGACUACAGUGCAUGCUAUAAAGUGUAGGCCUGUAGGACUCUUAUAUCUAUGGUAGAUUACCAUGGUGAGAUGGGUUAGUCUAUAGGCUUCAUUUUGGUCUACAUAUAAUUGGUAGGAUUCAAAUUUCUUUUUUUCUUCAAAUGUCAUUUACCAGUUUCAUUUGUGUCUGCUAAAGCAAACAAGACAUAGUUUCUUGCAUUAUCUUUUAUGUUUACUAUAAAUGAAUACAAUAAUUUUUGCAUGUGAGACAUGUGAUAUGAUAAUUUAUCAUUGCUACAAUUGUCAAAUUUUCAUUGAGCUCAGGAAGCAAGUCAUUGGGUAUAAGGAUAUAUAUAGUUAACAUGACUUAAAUCACCUUUGACAUUAAAAUUGUUGUAUCUAGAAAACAUUGUCAAGCUCACCCAUUACGUAUAAAAUACCAAGUUACACAAUCAAAAUUUGGACAGUAUUAAUCUAACUCUUAUGUUUCCUAUUAUUUUUUUAGGUAUGCCUCGGGUGUGAAUUUAACUGGCUUCUGUCGUUUGUCUCAGUUAAAAGUUGCAGAUUUUUCAUAUAACUUUUUUGUUGGUAGCAUACCCAAAUGCUUGGCAAGUUUGUUUAAUCCUCGUUAUUUGCGCAUGAUCUUAAUAUUUUUUUAAUUUCUUUUGGUUCUAGGGGUAACUUUAUGCAAAGGGCUCAACAGAGGAUUCAGGACACUGUUGGCAGGAUUAUUGGCUUUACUAGUUUAUAUGAUAUCAGCCAAUAAAUAAAAAUGAGUUGAAAUUGAGGUUUCUUGAUAAAAGGACUGUCUUUUAAUGAUUCUACCACUUCUAAUUCUAUUAGUAGUUAAAACUUAAAAGUGUUCAAAGACGUUUUCUAUGCUGACUUAAUUAAUCAUCCCUUUGGAGGUAAUUCAUCUAAAAUUAGAAAUAUGUUCAUAAAGAUAUCCUAAUUUGUGAUUUUCUCAAAUAUAAAUUAUGCUUCUAUGUCUGAUAAAUAAAUUGAGUUAUUUCUAUCCACUUUUAGUAUAAUUAUUGUUUUACACUCUCCAUUUAUACUGUAAGAGCCCCCAACAGGCUAUAUCCACGUCAGAGCAAGAAGGGGUUAGGCAACGGAUAGCCACAAGCUUGCUGGAAGGGUGAGAAGAAAGAUAAGUGAAAGGAUGAAGGUGUUGCAACGGCUUGUGCCAGGUUGUGAUAAGGUGACUAGAAAGGCCCUUAUGUUGGAUGAAAUAAUCAAUUAUGUUCAGUCUUUACAGAAUCAAGUUGAGUGAAUUUCAACUCAUACAUGAGUUAUGCUUAUAUGUGUUAUCAGCAUCCCAAAGGACUAAACUCACACAAGCUACUCUAUCUACAUUGCAUGCCUUCUUAUCAUGGAUUCCCUUGGGUUAUAUAUUUGAAUCACCCCUGCUUGUGACACUCCUGAAAUUUUUCCUUGUCCUAGCAUAUCGGAACCUCACAUUGCAAUGUUUAACUGAGGUGGCAGCCCUUCAAUUUGGGAAUUAUUAUGAUGUACAGUAUGUCAAGAUGUAUAACAUAUUCAUGGUCCAAUUGUAGGAAAUUAAGUAAACAACUGAGUGGUGAGGAUUGGACAUGGAACAAUUUGAAUACACUCUGUUGGGCAAUUGGUUCUAUAUUAGGUUCCAUGAUGGAAGAACAGUUUUUGACAAGAUAGAAAUUGACGAGAAUACCACACUCAAAGAUUUGGAUCUAAACCACAGCUUCUACCUAGAACCAUCUCGGUGAGAGUCUUUACUAAAGGAGUUGUUGGGCAUUUUCAGCUGUGGCAGCUGUUGAGGGGAUUAACCAAAUAAAAAACAACAAUUUGAUUCAAAAUAUUUUUAAUUUUAAAAGAAAAAAACACAUUUUAAGACGAUUCUUCAAAAAAUCGUCUUAGAAUAUUUACGUUCUAAGACAGUUUUUUGAAAACUGUCUUAGAGUCCUCUAUAUAUUUUUAAUUUUUUUAAAAAAUACAUUCUAAGACAAUUUUUAGUUAAAAACUGUCUUAGAAAGUGUAUCCUUUUAGGACGGUUUUUAACUAAGAAUAAUCUUAGAAAGGUAUUUUUUUUAAGACGAUUAUUUAUUGAACCGUCGUAAAAAGUGAAAACUUUCUAUGUCGUCUCCUACAACGACGGUUAAUAGAAUGCCUAUUUUAACUGA